RNAcentral lists this ribosomal RNA (253 nucleotides) under uncultured bacterium. RNAcentral's name for it is "partial 16S ribosomal RNA". It matches the Rfam family "Bacterial small subunit ribosomal RNA", at positions 524 to 776 of the family's 1533-position model. The record is from RNAcentral.
UACGUAGGCAGCGAGCGUUGUUCGGAGUUACUGGGCGUAAAGCGUGCGUAGGUGGUUCGUUAAGUCUGAUGUGAAAGCCCUGGGCUCAACCUGGGAAUGGCAUUGGAAACUGGCGACCUAGAGUGCGGUAGAGGGUAGUGGAAUUCCCGGUGUAGCAGUGAAAUGCGUAGAGAUCGGGAGGAACAUCCGUGGCGAAGGCGACUACCUGGACCAGCACUGACACUGAGGCACGAAAGCGUGGGGAGCAAACAGG